RNAcentral lists this unclassified non-coding RNA (2187 nucleotides) under Leishmania donovani. RNAcentral's name for it is "gene:LdHU3.26.2880(CDS-product:ADP-ribosylation_f actor_family_putative)". Lineage: Eukaryota; Euglenozoa; Kinetoplastea; Trypanosomatida; Trypanosomatidae. The record is from RNAcentral.
AGACUCACCACCCACACCCACACCCACACACACAGAAACGCACAAUCGUUAAGGAAUACGGCCAGCACGGCAGCCAUCGUGGACCCCUCUCGCUUUUCUUAGCCCACACACAUACAGCAAUCCUACCCUAACGACGCACACCCAUCCUUCCGGUUCCAAAUAGGGCUCCGUCUCAUCUCUCAGGUUGCGGGACUCCCCCUCGUACCCCCCCUCCUUCCCUCCCUCCGUUGCGCUCGUCUCUAUCAGUGUGUGUGUGCUGCUGCGGUCGCGACAUCACGCUGGAAUGAAUGCUACACUUUCUGACUGGUGUGUACAACAGCCUCUUUAGCACCCCCGAGUACAAUGUCCUGAUUGUCGGCCGCGAGUGCGCAGGCAAGUCGACGCUGCUGGAGCAACUCAAGUUCCUCUACACCCCAGCCGUACAGCAGCAGCAGCAGGCGUCUUUGUUGGCGGACCGCUCCAGCAGCAGCGCAGGUGAGAAGGCGAUUACCUUGACAACAAACAUAGUGACUGAAGCCCCCACGACACCACCACCGCAACAAAGGCCGCGUAGACAUCCACUGCCGCCCGGCACUCCACUUCCUGCCACAGCAACGCAACUGGCACAGAAGCGCAUCCGUCCGACAGUGGGCCUCAACUACGCUGUGGUGCAGCACCGCUUCAGCCCCCCCGUUUCGGCUGUCACGCUGGUGAAAAAGUCGCAGUUGCCAUUGCAGGCCGUCGCCUCCCUGCCGUCGCUACCGCAGGAUCUGCUGUACGAGCAACGCGCACGCCAACAGGAGGUCAUGGCCAACGCGCCGAGUGAUGUCGUCACACGUGUGGUGCUGCGAGACCUCGGUGGCCAAGCCGCGUUGCGCGACCUAUGGGAGAAGUACUACCCGCGAAGUCAAGGAAUCGUGUACGUUAUCGACAGUACACUGCCUUUUCGCAUUUCGUCUGCGUCGCCGUCAUCGCCGCCAUCCGCCACAGAAAAGCCGCCACGCGAUCACUUUACCAAGCAAGAGCUGAAGGAAGUUUACAAGCAGGACCGCGAUCUGCUCGCGCGACUCCUCCAGCACCCCCUGCUGCACGGCGUGCCGGUUCUGAUCCUCAGCAACAAGACGGACGAGGUUACCCACAUACCCCUCAUGACCUUGCAAGAGGCGCUGCAGUUGGCGGAGCUGGCAGCCGAUCCGACCUUUUACAUGCUGCAGAACAGCAGCGACGGCCACAAAGCAGGCGAGGAGCUGGAGAGUCAACAGAGGCUGCAUGACAACGGCAAUGGUGGCAGCGGUCCUUCGCAACUUCCUGGUGCCGCUGCAUCCCCGAUCGGUGCGCCACUCUCACGUCUCUGCACCCGCUCAGAGGAGGUGCAGCUGCGUGUGGGAGGGAGCGGCUUCGGCGAAAUUUCCAUGCGAGUGGUGGAGGUGAGUGCGCUCGACGGAGUGGGGGUGGCGGGGGCCAUGGACUGGUUGGUGGCGCAGUUGCUGCACCAUGCACGAGACGUGGAUAGCAGUGCCUGACUGGCUCAGUCACGCUCGUCGCGAAGAGAAGGUGCACUGUAAGUGACGGCGUCGGGGAGAUGAAUGAAGGCCAGCGGCAGGUGCUGUCGCGGCUCUAGUGGCGCGUGUGUGGAUGCGUGGCAGUGUCCUCCCUCUCUACUUCCCGCGCCCCUUCUCUCCGCUGCAGAUGCAUGCAGGCCCCGCUUUUCCGAACUCUCUUACUGGUGCCUUCUUCCUUCUCAUUGUGUUACCGCGUCGCCCCCUCGUUUUGAUGGGCACUCGAAAGGGGACAUACACACCAUCAACAACAUUGACAACGGGGGUGGGGAAGGGAGGCGAAUGCACGCAUCUGCUCGCACGUGGGCUUGUGCGUGCCUGUGCCGCUCCUGCGUGCCACCAAAGCCGAAUCUUUGGUGGUAGUUGAAGGGCGUUAGGGAGGGAAGGGCAGGGGAGAAGGUGUGUGUGUGUGCGUAUGUGUGCACAGCAUCAACUAGGUCCUCUUUUCUUCUUGGUUGCUGUUGUUGAUAUUGUUUCAUGUGUCACUUCCCCGCCCCUCUCCCUCCCUCCUUCUCCCACUCCCUUGGGCUGCCGAGGUCAUGUUUAUUUUAUAUGUGUUUUCGAAUCCCUGCCGACGUCCCGAACUCUCGCCAGGUGCCCAUGGCUGACAGCAACGGGGAGGAGGCAUCUCUCUCCCUCUCUUCAUCGG